AUUGAACGCUGGCGGCAGGCCUAACACAUGCAAGUCGAACGGUAGCACAGAGAGCUUGCUCUCGGGUGACGAGUGGCGGACGGGUGAGUAACGUCUGGGAAACUGCCCGAUGGAGGGGGAUAACUACUGGAAACGGUAGCUAAUACCGCAUAACGUCGCAAGACCAAAGUGGGGGACCUUCGGGCCUCACACCAUCGGAUGUGCCCAGAUGGGAUUAGCUAGUAGGUGGGGUAAUGGCUCACCUAGGCGACGAUCCCUAGCUGGUCUGAGAGGAUGACCAGCCACACUGGAUCUGAGACACGGUCGAGAGUCCUACGGGAGGCAGCAGUGGGGAAGAUUGCACAAUGGGCGCAAGCCUGAUGCAGCCAUGCCGCGUGUAUGAAGAAGGCCUUCGGGUUGUAAAGUACUUUCAGCGGGGAGGAAGGCGGUGAAGUUAAUAGCUUCACCGAUUGACGUUACCCGCAGAAGAAGCACCGGCUAACUCCGUGCCAGCCGCCGCCGUAA
RNAcentral lists this ribosomal RNA (504 nucleotides) under uncultured bacterium. RNAcentral's name for it is "partial 16S ribosomal RNA". It matches the Rfam family "Bacterial small subunit ribosomal RNA", at positions 29 to 523 of the family's 1533-position model. The record is from RNAcentral.